Molecule: small RNA, 694 nt
Filed under: Pan troglodytes (chimpanzee)
Lineage: Eukaryota; Metazoa; Chordata; Mammalia; Primates; Hominidae
Description: processed transcript
Source: RNAcentral
UGCGGCGCCCGCUGGCCGGGCUGGCUGCGGCCGCCCUGGGCCGGGCCCCACCGGACGGCAUGUCGGGCCCCAGGCCUGUGGUGCUGAGCGGGCCUUCGGGAGCUGGGAAGAGCACCCUGCUGAAGAGGCUGCUCCAGGAGCACAGCGGCAUCUUUGGCUUCAGCGUGUCCCAUACCACGAGGAACCCGAGGCCCGGCGAGGAGAACGGCAAAGAUUACUACUUUGUAACCAGGGAGGUGAUGCAGCGUGACAUAGCAGCCGGCGACUUCAUCGAGCAUGCCGAGUUCUCGGGGAACCUGUAUGGCACGAGGAGCAGCGGCUGCGGCAGCGCAACACUGAAACGGAGGAGAGCCUGGUGAAGCGGCUGGCUGCUGCCCAGGCCGACAUGGAGAGCAGCAAGGAGCCCGGCCUGUUUGAUGUGGUCAUCAUUAACGACAGCCUGGACCAGGCCUACGCAGAGCUGAAGGAGGCGCUCUCUGAGGAAAUCAAGAAAGCUCAAAGGACCGGCGCCUGAGGCUUGCUGUCUGUUCUUGGCACCCCGGGCCCAUACAGGACCAGGGCAGCAGCACUGAGCCACCCCCUUGGCAGGCGAUACGGCAGCUCUGCGCCCUUGGCCAGCAUGUGGAGUGGAGGGGAUGCUGCCCCUGUGGUUGGAACAUCCUGGGGUGACCCCCGACCUAGCCUCGCUGGGCUG